This 1346-nucleotide ribosomal RNA is filed under the name uncultured bacterium. RNAcentral's name for it is "partial 16S ribosomal RNA". It matches the Rfam family "Bacterial small subunit ribosomal RNA", at positions 28 to 1381 of the family's 1533-position model. The record is from RNAcentral.
GACGAACGCUGGCGGCGUGCUUAACACAUGCAAGUCGAACGGAAAGGCCCUGCUUUUGUGGGGUGCUCGAGUGGCGAACGGGUGAGUAACACGUGAGUAACCUGCCCUUGACUUUGGGAUAACUUCAGGAAACUGGGGCUAAUACCGGAUAGGAGCUCCUGCUGCAUGGUGGGGGUUGGAAAGUUUCGGCGGUUGGGGAUGGACUCGCGGCUUAUCAGCUUGUUGGUGGGGUAGUGGCUUACCAAGGCUUUGACGGGUAGCCGGCCUGAGAGGGUGACCGGCCACAUUGGGACUGAGAUACGGCCCAGACUCCUACGGGAGGCAGCAGUGGGGAAUAUUGCACAAUGGGCGGAAGCCUGAUGCAGCAACGCCGCGUGCGGGAUGACGGCCUUCGGGUUGUAAACCGCUUUCGCCUGUGACGAAGCGUGAGUGACGGUAAUGGGUAAAGAAGCACCGGCUAACUACGUGCCAGCAGCCGCGGUGAUACGUAGGGUGCGAGCGUUGUCCGGAUUUAUUGGGCGUAAAGGGCUCGUAGGUGGUUGAUCGCGUCGGAAGUGUAAUCUUGGGGCUUAACCCUGAGCGUGCUUUCGUUACGGGUUGACUUGAGGAAGGUAGGGGAGAAUGGAAUUCCUGGUGGAGCGGUGGAAUGCGCAGAUAUCAGGAGGAACACCAGUGGCGAAGGCGGUUCUCUGGGCCUUUCCUGACGCUGAGGAGCGAAAGCGUGGGGAGCGAACAGGCUUAGAUACCCUGGUAGUCCACGCUGUAAACGGUGGGUACUAGGUGUGGGGUCCAUUCCACGGGUUCCGUGCCGUAGCUAACGCUUUAAGUACCCCGCCUGGGGAGUACGGCCGCAAGGCUAAGACUCAAAGGAAUUGACGGGGCCCCGCACAAGCGGCGGAGCAUGCGGAUUAAUUCGAUGCAACGCGUAGAACCUUACCUGGGUUUGACAUGGAUCGGGAGUGCUCAGAGAUGGGUGUGCCUCUUUUGGGGUCGGUUCACAGGUGGUGCAUGGCUGUCGUCAGCUCGUGUCGUGAGAUGUUGGGUUAAGUCCCGCAACGAGCGCAACCCUUGUUCACUGUUGCCAGCACGUUAUGGUGGGGACUCAGUGGAGACCGCCGGGGUCAACUCGGAGGAAGGUGGGGAUGACGUCAAGUCAUCAUGCCCCUUAUGUCCAGGGCUUCACGCAUGCUACAAUGGCUGGUACAGAGAGUGGCGAGCCUGUGAGGGUGAGCGAAUCUCGGAAAGCCGGUCUCAGUUCGGAUUGGGGUCUGCAACUCGACCUCAUGAAGUCGGAGUCGCUAGUAAUCGCAGAUCAGCAACGCUGCGGUGAAUACGUUCCCGGGGCU